RNAcentral lists this transfer RNA (73 nucleotides) under Elusimicrobia bacterium RIFOXYA1_FULL_47_7. Its description in RNAcentral is "tRNA-Arg". It matches the Rfam family "tRNA". Rfam says of the family: Transfer RNA (tRNA) molecules are approximately 80 nucleotides in length. Their secondary structure includes four short double-helical elements and three loops (D, anti-codon, and T loops). Further hydrogen bonds mediate the characteristic L-shaped molecular structure. tRNAs have two regions of fundamental functional importance: the anti-codon, which is responsible for specific mRNA codon recognition, and the 3' end, to which the tRNAs corresponding amino acid is attached (by aminoacyl-tRNA synthetases). tRNAs cope with the degeneracy of the genetic code in two manners: having more than one tRNA (with a specific anti-codon) for a particular amino acid; and 'wobble' base-pairing, i.e. permitting non-standard base-pairing at the 3rd anti-codon position. The record is from RNAcentral. RNAcentral also lists the same sequence under 6 other names. Lineage: Bacteria; Pseudomonadati; Elusimicrobiota.
GCGCCCGUAGUUCAACUGGAUAGAGCACUGGCCUCCGAAGCCAGUCGUCCCGGUUCAAAUCCGGGCGGGCGCG